Oryzias javanicus (javanese ricefish) is the source of this 2705-nucleotide long non-coding RNA. The record is from Ensembl. Lineage: Eukaryota; Metazoa; Chordata; Actinopteri; Beloniformes; Adrianichthyidae.
UGAACCUACGCACCAGAAGAGAUGAGGGCUCAGGGAGGGAGGAACCUUCAAUCCAUGACAAAACAAGGGCCUAGAUGUUUCAUCAGGCUGUAUUUUACUGUAUGAAGUAAAACUGGGUUAAAGAGACCGUCUUCGUCAUGACGAAAUUGUAAGACGAGUUCCAGGAGGAUGACCAUGAGCAGAUACGGGAAACCCCUGUAAGACACAAUUACCCAGACGGCCAGCACACCACCACACCUAAGCCUGUGUGGUGUGAAACUUGGCAAGCUGGAAAGAAAGAGAGAUGGGCCGAGAGACAGUGGGUGAAUGGCAAGGAGAGGAAGAGGAGGCUGGAAAAAUAUUAAAUGCAAGCAUCCAUAUUCCCAUUAACCAGCCUGAAACGGAGUCACCAACCGGAGUCUGGACUUUUGUUCAGCUUGCUGAUGAGGUUGACUGGAUACUGGAAAAUGUCCAGAAUGGCCAGCAGGGUGCGUGUGAGCCGCAGCAGUUCACUGAAGCCGUAAAACCCAAAGUCAACCAGCUUUCGAGCCAGAUUUACCACCUAAAGGGAAAAGGUCAGGUGUUGUUAAGAACACAAACAGUCAAACAGACGACGAUAUUAAAAGUUCAUCCAUCUUGUUUCUUGGCUUUAAAGUGUUGCUGGUUACAAGCUUAAAAAACAGCAGAUUUGAAAUGUCAGCAUCAGUGAACCAAUAUGUUUGUCUAACAACUCUAUUGUUGCUGCAGUGGCUUUCACUGAUAUUUUACCUCCAGAGUGAGUUCAUUCUUGUCUUUAUCUUCAAACGGAAAAGACCGGGUGACUACAUCUUUGAGAUAUUCCUCCACAAAAUCCAUGGUGGAGGCAAAUUUCCUCUUCAUGUCCUCUCUCGAGCUGUCCGUUGACUCAUACUCGUACCUGGAGGGGGUGGGUGAGACAAAAAGCUGUUAAAACAAUAUUCCUGCACACAAUGUGACAUCUCUGGAGGAGAUGGCUCACUCGUUGAUGGUGAUCUUGGAGGGGAUCUCCGUCCAGAGGCGGGCGUAGCGCACCGGAACCACAGACUCCUGCGGGUCACGGUCUACGUGCAUGUGCAGCAUGAGGCGACAGAAGGCCGCUCUGAGGUCGUAGGGCAGGCUUUCGUCAAACAUGCAGCGCAGGAUCAGGUCCACAGGUAACUGACUGGAGAUCUGGUUGAUGGCGAGGUACUGCCGGUCCAAACACAUUUUAGCAAAAAGGUUCAGCUGAUACCUGCAGAGGAGAGGCACAGACUUCUGACUUCACAUCCAAUUCAUUUGCAACCAGAACUAAUCACACUGGAACCGUUACAACUAAAGUGUCCCAACCUGUAGUAGGUAAUAUUUUCCACAUCCUUCUUGUGGUUGUCUUUAGCGUCCUGAGCCAGGUGGCGAAUGGAUUUGCCGUGAGGCUCCUUGUUGCUGUCAAUCCAGUAGAGCCAGACCUCCUCCUCUUCCAACUCCUCCUGCAUAGAGGACUCCAGGCUGGCUGGCAUGUUAGAGAUUAGCCUAACGGGGUUAUGGAGGAGGAAAAAACAGACUGCAUAAAGAAAUUAUUCACUAACAUAACAGUAAAGAAAGUUUGUGGUACAGAGAAAAUAUUAAAUUCACAAUAAUACUGCUGUGUAGAGAGAUUCCUUCUGUUUAACCACGCUUCAGAGAUAAACAGAGAUGUGAGAAGCUUCUUGAACUUUCCAAAGCAGCUGGCGUGACUCACUUAGUUUGGAAGAGGAUAUCGGCGUUGCUGGGGUUCAGCAUAAAUUUACAGAUGAGCUCCUGUGUGACAGGGAUGGCCAUCUUGUUGGACACACACAGAUCAGACAAAUAAUCCAGGUAUCUGACAAAACAAAUAAGACAAGGGAUCAAUAACAUUUAACAAAUUUAAGCAGAUGGUUCCUUCUUCAUUUAAGAGGCCAAACUAAACCAAUAAAAUCAUCUUUUUUAAAUCACCAAACAAGCAUAAUGUUAAGUUCCCAUGGUCAUUUAAUUAUGAUUAUGCCGUUUUUAGCUGUGUUUUCAUGAGUUGUAGGUAAGACUGUUGUGAGCAACCCUGCCCCCACUUCCUAUCAUCCAUUUGUUAACACUCUUCCCUGAUGUCUUACAGUUCCUCACACCCACAACAUAACAUUACUGGUGCAACUAAAAUAGUGAGUAAUAUUGGGGCUAUCCCGCUGUACAAUUUGGAGCCAGAUGCCAGCUCAGCUGAGCAUCAGAAUGCCCCACCCAUCAAAUUUUCUAUGCAACAAAUACAAUAUUUUUCAAACUGAAUUUUUUCAUCUGUUCCUGAUCCAAAAUGAUUUCAGUGAAGAAAUACUCAGAAAUGUAAAAUUAGGUAAUUUUUUUUUUUUUUAGAUUUUUAAAAAUCUUUUAAAAAGGUCCUCCGUCAUGUGAAAAAUGCCACAAGAACAUGUUAAAAACACCAUUUCAUUGGAGAGGGUCCUAACCUUGGUUCUCGGUUUCGCCUCAGCUGGUUGACAAACGUCUCGAUCUCCCUGGCUGUGAUGUGUUGCUCCAGAAGUUUGCGGUUGUUGUGCAGCAGUGCAGUGAUCGUGUCUUCAGCCAGAAUCUCAUACCCGAUCUGAGACUGCAUGAUUGAGAAUUUUUUGGCAAUAUAUUCCUAAAAGAAAGAAGAAGAAAAAAAAAGAUUAAGCUUGCAAAGAAUAAAGUCACAUUUUCUUGAAUUUGAAAACUUUAUUUGUACAUAUAAAUGU